This 802-nucleotide long non-coding RNA is filed under the name Heterocephalus glaber (naked mole-rat). RNAcentral's name for it is "lncRNA (ENSHGLG00100050211.1)". The record is from RNAcentral. Lineage: Eukaryota; Metazoa; Chordata; Mammalia; Rodentia; Bathyergidae.
GUUGGAAUACUGAUGGCUGGGAGCUGUGGCAUGCUGAUCUGGAUGUAUCCUCUGGUCUGCGAGCCUUGGCACACUGAUCCCGAGGUCUACUCUCUGGUUGCAUGUGUGGCACACAAAUUGGAAUAAUCCUGCUGGCUGAGAGCUGUGGCACACUGACUUGGAAGACACCUCUACUCUUCUAGCUGUGGCACACCAACCCUGAGGCCUCCUCUGUGGUUGGAGCUGUGGCACGCUUACUUGGAAUACUUCUCCUGGCUUGGAACUAUGGCAUGCACACCUUGAUAUCUCCUCUGGUCUGCGAGCCGUGGCACGCUGACCCUGAGGGCUAAUCUGUGGUUUCAUUUUGGGCACGCAAACUGGAAUAAUCCUGCUGGCUGAGAGCUGUGGCACCCUGGCCUGGAAGACUCCUCGGGGCUUCAAUCUGUUGCACGCUGACCCUGAGGCCUCCUCUGCAGUUGGAGCUGUGGCACGCCUACUGGCAAUACUCCUCCUGGCUUGGAACUAUGGCAAGCUGAACUGGAUGUAUCCUCUGCGCUCUGAGCCAUUGCACGCUGACCCCGAGGUCUCCUCUGUCGUUGGAUCUGUUGCACGAAGGUUGGAAUACUGCUGGCUGAGAGCUGUGGCAUGCUGAUCUGGAUGUAUCCUCUGGUCUGCGAGCCUUGGCACACUGAUCCCGAGGUCUACUCUCUGGUUGCAUCUGUGGUACACAAAUUGAAAUAAUCCUGCUGUCUGAGAGCUGUGGCACACUGACUUGGAAGACACCUCCACUCUUCGAGCUGUGGCACACCAACCCUGAGGCCUC